ACACUUACCUGGCAGGGGAGAUACCAUGUUCAAGAGGGUGGUUCCCCCAGGACGAGCCAAAAGCAUUGCACUUCAGUCACGCCGACCCCUGCAAAUUUCCUAAAUGUGGUGAUCUCAACGGCAUUGGC
RNAcentral lists this small nuclear RNA (128 nucleotides) under Mola mola (ocean sunfish). RNAcentral's name for it is "U1 spliceosomal RNA (ENSMMOG00000019334.1)". It matches the Rfam family "U1 spliceosomal RNA". From Rfam's summary of the family: U1 is a small nuclear RNA (snRNA) component of the spliceosome (involved in pre-mRNA splicing). Its 5' end forms complementary base pairs with the 5' splice junction, thus defining the 5' donor site of an intron. Lineage: Eukaryota; Metazoa; Chordata; Actinopteri; Tetraodontiformes; Molidae. The record is from RNAcentral.